CCUACGGGAGGCAGCAGUGAGGAAUAUUGGUCAAUGGGCGCGAGCCUGAACCAGCCAAGUCGCGUGAGGGAAGACGGUCCUAUGGAUUGUAAACCUCUUUUGUCGGGGAGCAAAAGACGCCACGCGUGGCGUUCCGAGAGUACCCGAAGAAAAAGCAUCGGCUAACUCCGUGCCAGCAGCCCCGGUACUACGGGGGAUGCGAGCGUUAUCCGGAUUUAUUGGGUUUAAAGGGUGCGCAGGCGGAAGAUCAAGUCAGCGGUAAAAUUGAGAGGCUCAACCUCUUCGAGCCGUUGAAACUGGUUUUCGUGAGUGAGUGAGAAGUAUGCGGAAGGCGUGGUGUAGCGGUGAAAUGCAUAGAUAUCACGCAGAACUCCGAUUGCGAAGGCAGCAUACCGGCGCUCAACUGACGCUCAUGCACGAAAGUGUGGGUAUCGAACAGGAUUAGAUACCCCUGUAGUC
RNAcentral lists this ribosomal RNA (459 nucleotides) under uncultured bacterium. Its description in RNAcentral is "partial 16S ribosomal RNA". It matches the Rfam family "Bacterial small subunit ribosomal RNA", at positions 338 to 795 of the family's 1533-position model. The record is from RNAcentral.